AACGACGUAAUUUAAUUUAAAAUAAGUGUUUUGCGUACACUAAAUGGGUUUUAACCUCGUUGUUA
Molecule: transfer RNA, 65 nt
Filed under: Capsala katsuwoni
Lineage: Eukaryota; Metazoa; Platyhelminthes; Monogenea; Capsalidea; Capsalidae
Description: tRNA-Ala
Source: RNAcentral